GAUGAACGCUGGCGGCGUGCUUAACACAUGCAAGUCGAACGGAAAGGCCCUGCUUUUGUGGGGUGCUCGAGUGGCGAACGGGUGAGUAACACGUGAGUAACCUGCCCUUGACUUUGGGAUAAAUUCAGGAAACUGGGGCUAAUAUCGGAUAGGAGCUCCUGCUGCAUGGUGGGGGUUGGAAAGUUUCGGCGGUUGGGGAUGGACUCGCGGCUUAUCAGCUUGUUGGUGGGGUAGUGGCUUACCAAGGCUUUGACGGGUAGCCGGCCUGAGAGGGUGACCGGCCUCAUGGGGACUGCGAUACGGCCCAGUCUCCUACGGGAGGCAGCAGGGGGGAAUAUUGCACAAUGGGCGGAAGCCUGAUGCAGCAACGCCGCGUGCGGGAUGACGGCCUUCGGGUUGUAAACCGAUUUCGCCUGUGACGAGGCGUGAGUGACGGUAAUGGGUAAAGAAGCACCGGCUAACUACGUG
This 468-nucleotide ribosomal RNA is filed under the name uncultured bacterium. RNAcentral's name for it is "partial 16S ribosomal RNA". It matches the Rfam family "Bacterial small subunit ribosomal RNA", at positions 28 to 507 of the family's 1533-position model. The record is from RNAcentral.